RNAcentral lists this long non-coding RNA (393 nucleotides) under Danio rerio (zebrafish). RNAcentral describes it as "si:dkey-14d8.19 (ENSDARG00000094254.2)". The record is from RNAcentral. Lineage: Eukaryota; Metazoa; Chordata; Actinopteri; Cypriniformes; Danionidae.
UGUCGACUCUACAGGAUCAGUGAAGUGUUGUGGACUGUAAGCCUGUUGAACAGAAGCAGAGACGUGUGGACAGACACUGACUGUACUGACGAUCAUCUGCGGCUGCACAGGCUGUAAAGUAUAACCCCUGCUGGACACGGCUCCGGAAGCUCCAGGGGGAGACCGAACUGGUAUCCCCCCUUCUUCAGGCGCGCCUCACACUCACUCACCAUUCACACAUAUCGCAGAGUUCUGGCUGGGACCGAUACCAGCAACCCCGGAAGCCGUGGGGCAGCGCUCUUACCACAGAGCCACAGAUCUCCAUGUCUGAACACCUGCUGGAACUGAUGUUUGAGCUGUGUCUUGAUCUGAGCUGUGAUUGGACAAUAAACUAGUUAAAGUUUGCCUGCUCUG